UACAGAGGUCUCGAGCGUUAGGCGGAAUCACUGGGCUUAAAGCGCGUGUAGGCGGGUCGUUAAGUGUCCGAGUGAAAUCCCACGGCUCAACCGUGGAACUGCCGGGCAUACUGGCGAUCUUGAGGCAUUCAGGGGCGAGCGGAACAAAUGGUGGAGCGGUGAAAUGCGUAGAUAUCAUUUGGAACGCCAAUGGUGAAAACAGCUCGCUGGGAAUGAUCUGACGCUGAGACGCGAAAGCCAGGGAGCGAACGGG
RNAcentral lists this ribosomal RNA (253 nucleotides) under uncultured bacterium. RNAcentral describes it as "partial 16S ribosomal RNA". It matches the Rfam family "Bacterial small subunit ribosomal RNA", at positions 524 to 776 of the family's 1533-position model. The record is from RNAcentral.